ACUAUGUCCUUCACUUUUCUUUUUCGUGCCUAUAUCUUGUAAUCUACUGUUUCUCUCUACAGCAAAUCAUUGGAGCGGUCUAUUUCUAGAUCGGUAUCAAGAUCAAGAUCUGCAUCUCCCAUCAAAUCUUCCAGGCCAAAAUCAAGAUCAAGGUCAGGAUCUCCCCGCCAGGCGCGUUCCAGUAGUGGCUGAUUUCCAUGCAAGCGAUGUCAAAACUCGUCCUGACCGACCCAUUUGGUAGAGUUUGAGGGGAAACACUAUUAUUAUUUUAUUUAUUUAUUUUUUGGAUAGUUGGAAAGUGAACGACUUAAUUUGUCUUGAUGCAAUUGGUUAUAUUCCCCGUUUAUUUUUAUUUUAGCUACUAUCUGUGAUCGAGGUGUGUUAAGUAGCUAGCAACUGAGGCUACUACCUUGGAGAUUUGUGACUUUUUUACGCAUUAUGCAUGGCACGUUUGUUUUGAGUUAAAA
Alnus glutinosa is the source of this 467-nucleotide long non-coding RNA. RefSeq lists it as uncharacterized. The transcript has 3 exons. The record is from RefSeq and is a predicted model, not a curated record. NCBI's taxonomy places the organism in Eukaryota, Viridiplantae, Streptophyta, Magnoliopsida, Fagales, Betulaceae.